CCUACGGGAGGCAGCAGUGGGGAAUAUUGGACAAUGGGGGCAACCCUGAUCCAGCAAUGCCGCGUGGGUGAAGAAGGCUUUCGGGUUGUAAAGCCCUUUCAGUAGGGAAGAACGCACAAGGUGCUAAUACCGCUUUGUGUAUGACGUUACCUACAGAAGAAGCACCGGCUAACUCCGUGCCAGCAGCCGCGGUAAUACGGAGGGUGCGAGCGUUAAUCGGAAUUACUGGGCGUAAAGGGCGCGUAGGUGGUUUAGCAAGUCGGAUGUGAAAGCCCCGGGCUCAACUUGGGAAUUGCAUUCGAUACUGCUUGGCUGGAGUACGGUAGAGGGAAGCGGAAUUCCCGGUGUAGCGGUGAAAUGCGUAGAUAUCGGGAGGAACAUCAGUGGCGAAGGCGGCUUCCUGGACCGAUACUGACACUGAGGCGCGAAAGCGUGGGGAG
RNAcentral lists this ribosomal RNA (440 nucleotides) under uncultured bacterium. Its description in RNAcentral is "bacterial SSU rRNA". It matches the Rfam family "Bacterial small subunit ribosomal RNA", at positions 338 to 768 of the family's 1533-position model. The record is from RNAcentral.